GAUGAACGCUGGCGGCGUGCCUAAUACAUGCAAGUCGAGCGAACAGAUCAGGCGCUUGCUCCUUUGACGUUUGCGGAGGACGGGAGAGUAACAUGUGGGUAACCUACCUAUCUGACUGGUAUAAUUCCGGGAAACCGGGGCUAAUGCCGGAUAAGAUUUUGAACCGCAUGGUUCUAAAGAGAAAGAUGGUUUUGCUGUCACUUCUAGCUGGUCCCUCGCCGUUUUAGCUAGUUGGUGAGGUAAUGGCAUACCAAGGGUACGAUACGUAGCCGACGUGAUAGGCUGGUAGGCCGCACUGGAACUGAGACAGGCUCCAUGCUCCUGCGGUAGGGAGCAGUAGGGUAUGGGACGCAAUGGGCGGAAGCCUGACGCAACAGCGCCGCGUGAGUGAUGAAGAUCUUCGGUUCGUAAAACUCUGUUAUGAGUGAUGAACAGAUUUGUAAGUUACUGAGCACGUCUUGACGGUACCUAAUCAAGAAGCCACGGCUAACUACGUG
RNAcentral lists this ribosomal RNA (497 nucleotides) under uncultured bacterium. RNAcentral describes it as "partial 16S ribosomal RNA". It matches the Rfam family "Bacterial small subunit ribosomal RNA", at positions 28 to 507 of the family's 1533-position model. The record is from RNAcentral.